CUACGGGCGGCUCCAGUAAGGAAUAUUGGUCAAUGGACGCAAGUCUGAACCAGCCAUGCCGCGUGAAGGAUUAAGGUCCUCUGGAUUGUAAACUUCUUUUAUUUGGGACGAAAAAGGGUCUUUCUAGACCAACUGACGGUACCAGAUGAAUAAGCACCGGCUAACUCCGUGCCAGCAGCCGCGGUAAUACGGAGGGUGCAAGCGUUAUCCGGAUUCACUGGGUUUAAAGGGUGCGUAGGCGGGUAGGUAAGUCAGUGGUGAAAUCCUAGAGCUUAACUCUAGAACUGCCAUUGAUACUAUCUAUCUUGAAUAUUGUGGAGGUAAGCGGAAUAUGUCAUGUAGCGGUGAAAUGCUUAGAUAUGACAUAGAACACCUAUUGCGAAGGCAGCUUACUACGCAUAUAUUGACGCUGAGGCACGAAAGCGUGGGGAUCAAACAGGAUUAGAUACCCCAGUAGUC
RNAcentral lists this ribosomal RNA (459 nucleotides) under uncultured bacterium. RNAcentral's name for it is "partial 16S ribosomal RNA". It matches the Rfam family "Bacterial small subunit ribosomal RNA", at positions 339 to 795 of the family's 1533-position model. The record is from RNAcentral.